RNAcentral lists this ribosomal RNA (251 nucleotides) under uncultured bacterium. RNAcentral's name for it is "partial 16S ribosomal RNA". It matches the Rfam family "Bacterial small subunit ribosomal RNA", at positions 15 to 263 of the family's 1533-position model. The record is from RNAcentral.
GAUCCUGGCUCAGAUUGAACGCUGGCGGCAGGCUUAACACAUGCAAGUCGAACGGUAACAUAAAGAAGCUUGCUUCUUUGAUGACGAGUGGCGGACGGGUGAGUAAUGCUUGGGAAUCUAGCUUAUGGAGGGGGAUAACUACGGGAAACUGUAGCUAAUACCGCGUAAUAUCGAAAGAUUAAAGUGUGGGACCUUCGGGCCACAUGCCAUAGGAUGAGCCCAAGUGGGAUUAGGUAGUUGGUGAGUAAGGG